CCUUUUGUGGCUAUAUUGCCACGGCACUUGAUCGGUGGGCUGGCGCACCGCCAUGCUUAGCAGCGGAACAGUGGGUUGGUAGGGUAUAGGCUGGGGUAGGGAAGGGUUUGGCAGCUUGGGAUCGAGCGGAAGCGGAGGUUAGAGGGGUGGAGCGGCAGCGGUACCCGUUCUUCGCCUUCGAGCUCGGCUUUAGGUGGAACCGUCGUUUGAGGGGGCGGCGAUUCCGAGGUCGACGGCGUUUCUAGCGGCUCGGCCGUCGACGAGGGGGGGUCGGGCUUUGGGAUCGGCUCAUGAUGGGGUGAAGGAGGGUUUGGCACCGGGUCCUCUCGCCCAGGUAGCGACCCCCGCGCCGCCACUUCGUCCUCCACCCGCCGCUCCUCCUGCUCACCCUCCUCCACCUUCUCCUCCUCCUUCUCCUCCAGCUCCUCCUUCUUGUCGUCGUCCGGCUCCUCCCGCUGUCGCUGGGGCGGAGCUAGGUCCGCGAUGACCUCCACAAGGGGUUCCUCGUCGAGCAGCUCGACGAGGCGCUGCGGCGGCAGGCGGUGCCGCUGCACGAGCUCAGGCAGGCGGCUCGCCGGCUGCGCCUAGGUCGGGUCGCCUUCUAGAAGCAGGUGCCGGAGCCUACCCUGUGGUGGCACCUGUAGGAGUGGCUCCGAAAGGCGGGAAUACCACUCUAGCUCCUAGAGUUCGAGCAGAGUCUGGCAUUGUGCCCGUUCACGUUCCCGAUGCCCAAGUAGGAGAAGUCGGCGGAAAGACCGCGGGCGCGCCGGGACGACCUCGGGGUCUUCUUCUAGCCGUUGGCGUGAUGGAGGACGGUCGAACGAAGAAACCCGGGACAGGGUGGACCGCCACGCCGGUUGUUAGGAUACAACCGAUGUCGAGGUCGAGGCCGAGGUCGUCGGAACUAUGAUGGCGGUCAAAGACUCAUGUGUGUCGCCUUCUAAAAACAAUCGUUACAACCGCGUCUAUAGCUGGGUGUCUUUGACGACGUCAAGAAAAGUUUCAUACCACUUUAACUCCUCCCAGGAGAACCCGAGCUGUUCCGUUGGCCUUUCGGGUUCCCAAAACGAGACAAACAAAUGUCCUGGGAACUCUCGCGGUUCUUCCGCGAGGUCCUCGGCGUGUUCAGUAAACUCCCUCAAUACGACGUGACGGUCUUCCGUUAGCUACCCGGUUUUGGGUUGUUUCCUCCUCCUAUACCACGGUGUUGAUGUUCACCCUCCUUCCCGCGACGACCGAUACCACGACCAUCGGUAAGAGACGGACCGUGACAACCACGACCAAUACCCUACCGUAGAGGUCGCUCGGACCGAAGUUACGGACCCGGACAUGGACCACCAGGUCCCUACUUAGGACGUGACCCGGUCCGAAAUUGUCGAAAGAACCGGUGGGUUCCCCCUCCCAACCCAGACUUAUUGUAGGAACCUCAACCAGGAUUAUCAAGUCCCCACGGUUUAAGUCCCAGAAGACCUCGAGAACCACCACCGCCACAUGGACCUUACGGACCGUCAAUAUACCCUCCGAUACCCCCACCACCGCCCAUACCACCAGGUGGCCCUCCAGGUCCUUCUUUAAUGUACCCAGUAAUCUACUAAGAUGCACAAGGACGCGGCGUGAAUAUUUGUACGACAAAAUCCGACGAAGAGCGUUCAACGAAUGAGAUCGCCAGUUUCAAAAGUAUUCUUGAAACUAAAGGAGUUAGGAUACAAAAGUUUUAACUUGUUUAGAUACAUGUUAAUAAAUUUAAAAGCUUUUCAAUGAUAACAGAACACUGGGAUAACAUUUUCUGAAAGAUAGCUAAAUUUCGUGGCACCUUAAAAAUGACGUAAAAUAUGUUCUUAAAAGUCAGUAAUAAAAACCGUAAACAACUUUGGGUUAAACACAAUAAUUUUUUUUACGGUAAGGGAUGAAAAGAACAGUACGACUAUACAAAGACUGGUCUUUACAACACACCUAAAUAAAGACUUGUUUUUCAACUUAUAACGAAACAAAUGUUUCAUCCGUAAACAAAUAAAACCGGUUCAAAUAGUAAUAGCACUCUAUUUCAACCAAUUCCUCUUAGAGACCGUCUAGAUCCUUUUAUAGUUACACGACUAAAAUCUUUUCUCCGAUAACGUAAGAGUUUACGCAAAAAAACAGAUAGAACAGCCCGUCAGGUUAAAAUCAACACAACCAGACUCCAGUAUCCGCAUUUAUGAUUUGUCUUCUGGAAAAUCGUCGCUAAAUCUGAAACCGGCAACUGAUUAAAAAACGGACACCCGUUCGAUCAUCAACCUUUCCCGCUUCAUCCCCCUCCCUACAGGAGUAGCUUCUCCAUCCCGACAACCUUCCCACCCUCCCCGACCGAACUAACUUGGGAGUGUCCUUCUGUUCACGAGUAUAGAAACUACACCUCCUCCUGACGUCGUUUUCCUUCUCCUCCCUUCUUUUCUAUGUCAAGUUCUACUCCACUUACCGAUGAUUCAACGAAAUGUUGGACUAAUCGUGUGAGAAUACAAGAAGUAAACAAAAACGCACACUACAAAAAGAAAACCAAAUCAUCAUCUUAUCUUGAUCCUCGUCUGACAUCGUGUGAGAAUACACGCGCAAUGGUCAUACAAAUUAACCUUUUGAUCUUAUCUUGAUCCUCGCCAUUAACUUGGUCAAAUUUGUAACACCACCUAAUUACUUAUCUUAUCCACGUACUAUUAAUCUUCAUUGUACCCAUGUACAAGAUAAUAGACCGUGAAUAGGAUCACGAGGAGUGUUUAUACGUUUAAAGCAAACUACAAGAUAAAACUCAUAAGAAUGGAUAUUCUCGUGUAUCGUUAAAAAGACUAUAUUUCAUAGGGACUACAUUAUCUAGUAUUAAAUGAUUCGACGCACAAUAGUCAAUAGACCGGAUUUCAGAAAUAGGUUGUUCAAAAACAUUCGACACUGUGCAGUAAUAGAAAGCUAGUGUGCUGUAUACAUAUAUAGUAAACAACAGUU
Molecule: ribosomal RNA, 2970 nt
Filed under: Triticum aestivum (bread wheat)
Lineage: Eukaryota; Viridiplantae; Streptophyta; Magnoliopsida; Poales; Poaceae
Description: partial small subunit ribosomal RNA
Source: RNAcentral